GGGCCUUUAGCUCAGCUGGUUAGAGCAACCGGCUCAUAACCGGUUGGUCCGGGGUUCGAGUCCCUGAAGGCCCACCA
This 77-nucleotide transfer RNA is filed under the name Clostridiales bacterium. Its description in RNAcentral is "tRNA-Ile". It matches the Rfam family "tRNA". From Rfam's summary of the family: Transfer RNA (tRNA) molecules are approximately 80 nucleotides in length. Their secondary structure includes four short double-helical elements and three loops (D, anti-codon, and T loops). The record is from RNAcentral. Lineage: Bacteria; Bacillati; Bacillota; Clostridia; Eubacteriales. RNAcentral also lists the same sequence under 1 other name.